This 273-nucleotide long non-coding RNA is filed under the name Trifolium pratense (red clover). RNAcentral describes it as "long non-coding RNA (TPRA_LNC012433)". Lineage: Eukaryota; Viridiplantae; Streptophyta; Magnoliopsida; Fabales; Fabaceae. The record is from RNAcentral.
GAUGACAUUCCGUCAUUUGAGUAUUUUUAAUUAUUAUUCUAUAGUAUUUUAGUUAAUUUUUAAGACUAUUGCAUGAUCAAAGAGAAGAAUUUAUGAAGAAUUUGACAUAUAAAAGAGUUUGAAGAUAGAAGCCUAAAAGGAAAAAGACUUGGAAAACAUUCCAAAAAUUGCAAAGACUUGGAGAAAUAAGUUUUGAAGCUACUGUUUUUCUCGCGUUCCUGUACAAUUCAUUCGUGGUGCGAUUUGGAUAUUUUCAUCACAUGACAUCAUCAA